This 4560-nucleotide long non-coding RNA is filed under the name Mytilus galloprovincialis (Mediterranean mussel). The record is from RNAcentral. Lineage: Eukaryota; Metazoa; Mollusca; Bivalvia; Mytilida; Mytilidae.
ACUUUUUAAAUUAUUUUCAAAUUUGAAAUAGAGAGAAUUUCGUUUUAAAAAUUUGUAUUUUCCCCUUUUAAUAUUCUCCGCACAUCUCUUAUUCAUAUAGAAUUUAUAUUUAACGGAAGGUGUAUAAUUUUUAGAUAAGGCCUGAUUAAUAACUCGACGCGUUGGUAUUUGAAAUAGAAUGCGUAAGCUAUGUAUAUUUCAUCAGAGGAACCCAUUUUUAUGUGUCCUAUAUUAAGUUAUAACACUUGUCAAAAGUAGUUGACAUACUUAUUUUUUUCAGAACAUGCACUGUGUGUACUGUUAAUUGCAGUACUACAGAGGUGAGAGCUCAAAGAGUUAUUGUCAUGAUAUUUUUUUGGUUUUUGCGUCGUAAGUAAUUUUCAAGGCGACACUGAGGGGAAAACCACCCGUGACCCAGCGAAGAGGUGACACUCCUUGUCGUAUGUCAAUAAACUAUGUGAUAAAAGAACACAAAGGUUAUCAUAUUCAGGUGAAAACCGACAGGUUGAUGAAUUAAAUUUCAUUCAUAAAAAUUUCGGAAGUACAUUUUUGUAAGUUGCAGACAACGCGUGAUAUUUUAAUGAUGAAAAUAAAUAUCAGUAUGUAAUUUUGUACAGUAUACAAUUGUUUGAAGGUCAAAACUGCAGCCUUGUCAAAAAUCCUUCUCAAAAUGAAUAAUUAUACAGCAGACAGACAUGAUACGCUUUCUUGAAAUAGUUUAUAAUGACAUUUUUACUUUUCCAUUUCUUUGUAUAAAUUUUUUCUCGUUACAAGCUUAAGUUUCGAUUUUAAAUCAGAAAGAUGUGUACUUUUAUUUGAAAAAGAGUAAAUUGUUAAAUUGAUGGAGAAAAUAUCGAUUUAGUGAUUUUUGCACGUCAGUUGUAAACCGUCUGGAUUUCAUUCAUAAAGUCUGUCAUUGAAAGGAACGCCCCCAGACGGACAUAACUUCAUGCUGUUGAUUGCCAAAUACUUUCCAAAUUGAGUCGAUUCUACAAUCUUUGAUCACGUUUCGUGCCAGUCAUACUAGAAUAGUUUAUAAUUCCCUUUGUCUGUGCUAUUAAUAGAAAGGAAAAUAUGCCCUUGUUAUUUUUCUUUAUUCUCUCUCUUCUAAAUUCUAAUGUAGUAUGUAUUUUUGAAAGGCUUUUUAUUUUUAAUUUACGAGAUUACAUGCUUGUUAUGAGCCCUAUGUUUAGGAAAUAAAAUAUCUUUAUCUUUUCUAUUUUGGGGGAUAAUUUUUCUGAAAUUGUAGGACAAUGUUUAAUACCAUAAGUAGAAGGUUGGGAUUUAUUUUAAGGGGUUAUUUGGCAAACAGUCUAGGAAUUAAGGGUCAAAAAGGGGCCAAAAACAAGCAUUUUUCUAGUUUCAAGACAAGAACUUGUGUGUAAUUGUAUGGCUGAAUUCUACAGUUGCAUACAUUAUUACUGGGUCCUUCUUCAAUGCAAGCUUAAUUAACUUCAGGCCAAAAAUAAAGGGUACACAUGUACUUGUUUCCUACCUCCUAGCAGACGACACUAGGAAAGUAGAUAUUAAACUAAUUUUUCAUUUGCAAUAUUUGUCAGUCUUUUUAAAAAAUGUUUUUAUAUUUAACGGUGCUUAACUCCCUUAAAAAUUGCCUUUAGUGAUGUAUUGCCAAAUAAAUGCCUUCAAAAUGUGCUAGAAUAUUGUAGGAAUAGAGGCCGGAAACAUAAUUUUCAUUUGUUAGGCCUUACAUGUAUGUCCUGGUAUGGACAAAGAAAUGACUGAGAGCAUUAUUUUAUUCAUAAGCCGUCUGAGACAGAAACACAACACUUUUUGUUUGUGGGAUAAUUAAUAUCAUUAUCACAUCUGAAGUAUUGAAAUUAUAAUCACAUAAAUCAAACAUGUAAAGUUGAUAGUGUUGAAACAUAUUGUUGCCAGUCAAAUGCGUUAUAACCACAUCAAAGCCACGAAUAAAAGUCGGUUACUUUUGAAAUAUAUAUUAAUGGAUUUAGUUCGAAAAACAAAUUAUUUGAAUUUAUAAAUUCCAAAUUCAAAUUGUCGAAUCAUUGAUUAAUAAAUUACAACAUAUUUGCGACGACUGUUUGCUAUGUCUUUGUGUGGUCAGAGAAAACAAGCGCGAAAAUUCUUUUCCGGUGACGGUUUCAUUCAGAAAUGAUAUCUUGCGGUUUCCGAGGAUUGCUUAUGGCGGUUUAUUUAAUGAUGCUCAAACAUGUCUCUCAGUGCAAGAAAAAAAGUUUAUUGAAGUAACAUCUGUCCAUGAAAACUUUUAUAUAAUAUUAGUUUUGAUCGAAAUUUGGUAAGAACCACAUAUUCUAUGACCUCUUGGAGCGAUGUGACGGGUAUGUGUACGUCACCUAAUCACGAGCAUAUAAAGGAUAGGUAUAUUUAAAUUGAUAAAACUAGUUCGAUAUAGUCGAUAUUGAUCAUUAUGUAUUCAACGAUCUAGAAAUACAGUACUGAUGAAUACCUUUAAAUUUUUCGGAAAUAACUUUUCAUCAAUGGAUAUACAAAUUUUUCAGAAAUAACUUUUUAUCAAUGGAUAUACUCGAGAAGUCAACGAACUUCAGCCAGUACUUAUGAAUGAAAGAAUGAUCUAGUUUGUCUGUGUACGUACAAUUAUUUCGAUUGGAAAACAGAUUUAUCCAAUGGUGUGACUUUAACAUUGACGACAAACUAUGAAUGAAAAAUAGUUUGACUGUGAAUGUACAAAGCUUUUUAACAGAUUCAAACCUAGACCGAAGAAUUUAAAUUAUUUACAUCAUUCUAUCUAUUCUAUUGAAAAUAUGUAUUGACGAAAAACAUUAAAUGACGCACGAAAAAUUCAACAUGAGAUAUUUAAAAUGGAUAUAACUAUUCAGAUAUAUAUUUACCACCCAAUAUCGCACUAUAGGUAAACGAAUAGUUGUAAAAUAGUUUGUAAUAUGUCUGCGUGGGAGUUGUAGUAUGGCGAUAAGAUCACGACGUGAAUGAAGUGCCAAGCUGGUGUGUAUAUCUGUGUAUUCCAUUCAACCUGAAAAAUAUUUGUUUUAUUCAACAAAAAGCUGUGAGGUAAGUAUGUAUAUAUUUUUACCAGAAUACUACAUUUAUUUUUAAAAUUUAUCACAUUCCAUGUAAUUCAAAUCCACCGAAUUCACAAAGAAAUUUUAACCCGCUUGAAUUCCUGAAAAAGUAAUAAAUUGAUUUAUAUUCCGCCAAAAGAGUAUAAUUUUCAAAAUCUUCAAAUUUGAUAUUUUUCUUGUUUUGUCAGGUUGGUUGUUUUCUUCUUCAUUUUGUGAAUAUUUCAUAUAACAUUGUACAUCAAGCGCGACUGAAUUUUUAUACUCAUUUCACGUUGCACAAUGUGAACAUUUCACUAAAAUCUAAAUAAAUUAAAAGAGCAAAUAGUAAAUGAUAAAAUGGAAGUAUAUAUGCCUAUAAUAACGAUCGAUCACCCAGCAUAUUAUUUACUAGCACGUUUUCAGAAAGUUCUUCUUUCCAGCUUUUGGCAAACAAAGAAUUUUUGUCCUAAUUGCUUGUGGGAUUGUCCUUAAAUCUUUUAAUAAAUGUCCUGAUAUGUCCUCAUAUAUGAUCUUAAACAAUUUUAUCUGAAAUCUCUUCCUGUUUUAACAUUAAAAACAAACAUGAUCGAGUUAAAGCUUGUACUAUAACAAUAAAUAUGAACCCACACGUAUUUUGUAAUGUAACCCACACUACUAAUAAUUAAACUGAAAAGUCGUAGAAAUUAUGGCAGUCGAAACUUUUCUAUUUUUGCUCCACUCCUUAUAAAUUGUAAUCUAAACUAUAUAAAAAAAAAUAAGAAACAGAGGGAAAUUACAUUAUGCGGUUGUUAAUUUUCUAAUAUUAACUGACAAAAAAACUAUUCUGAAACUGAAAAGAAAUGUUUUCCUUUAAAAACAAUAAAUAUUAUAAUACUGCUUAUUUUUAUUUAAAUUAAUUUGGUUUUCGAAAAUGAAAUAUUCAAAACUAUAAUAAAAUCGGCCCUUACUAUCAUUAUAUAUCCGGACAACUAUAUCACUUUCCGACAAUUCAGAAUUUUUUGUAUUCUAGGAAUGCUAUCUAAAACAAAAUAAGUUUUCAUACUUAAAAUGUUCUCUGAUCUGCACCAAAUCACACAUGUCAAAAGCUUUACAAUUUAGGAAGAUGUAACAUAUAUCACAAUUCAAUUUUUAGAUUAUUUAAAUUAUGAAUUAAAAUGCUAGAUUGUAGAUGCCAUUAUUUUGCUAAAUCAAAGAAUUAAUAAAAAAAAAAAACAUCUCUUAAAUAAUAAAUUGAAGUAAACCAUUGUAAACUGGAUGAUAUUAAACAGUCAUCCUUCCAGGGGAUAUAAAAAAAUAUAUAUUCAUGGGACGUACAGCCUCAAAUGCCUCUAUGUACAAGGAUAAGUGGGUAGUUGAUAUCAAGGCUAGAAUGUUUGCCUCCAGACACUCCUAUAACACAAUGAAAAUAAAUUAAUUAAAACAUUACAGCUAGUUAAGAUAGUAGUUUGGAAAAUUAAUAAGUAGGGUCAAUAGGUUGAAUCUUGUAUUGCAUGAAUCGGUUAACUGAUAAACUAGCACACGGACUUGUGGGUGUUAAAAUUAU